Molecule: ribosomal RNA, 253 nt
Filed under: uncultured bacterium
Lineage: Bacteria
Description: partial 16S ribosomal RNA
Rfam family: Bacterial small subunit ribosomal RNA
Source: RNAcentral
UACGUAGGGCGCAAGCGUUAUCCGGAAUUAUUGGGCGUAAAGAGCUCGUAGGCGGUUUGUCGCGUCUGCCGUGAAAGUCCGGGGCUCAACCCCGGAUCUGCGGUGGGUACGGGCAGACUUGAGUGCAGUAGGGGAGACUGGAAUUCCUGGUGUAGCGGUGAAAUGCGCAGAUAUCAGGAGGAACACCAAUGGCGAAGGCAGCUCGCUGGGACGGUACUGACGCUGAGGCGCGAAAGCGUGGGGAGCAAACAGG